AUUUGAAGCGAGUUAUGCGUCUUCAAAAUUGGAGGUGAGAUAUGGAGAGACGGCAGAGAAAGAGACAGUCGUUUUCUCUGCCGCCUCUCACUCUCUAACCUCCAAUUUUAAAGGCGCAUAACUCGCUUCAAAA
This 133-nucleotide small RNA is filed under the name Caenorhabditis brenneri. Its description in RNAcentral is "sRNA CBN34300". Lineage: Eukaryota; Metazoa; Nematoda; Chromadorea; Rhabditida; Rhabditidae. The record is from RNAcentral.